Molecule: transfer RNA, 86 nt
Filed under: Xenopus tropicalis (tropical clawed frog)
Lineage: Eukaryota; Metazoa; Chordata; Amphibia; Anura; Pipidae
Description: Xenopus (Silurana) tropicalis (western clawed frog) tRNA
Rfam family: tRNA
About the family: Transfer RNA (tRNA) molecules are approximately 80 nucleotides in length. Their secondary structure includes four short double-helical elements and three loops (D, anti-codon, and T loops). Further hydrogen bonds mediate the characteristic L-shaped molecular structure. tRNAs have two regions of fundamental functional importance: the anti-codon, which is responsible for specific mRNA codon recognition, and the 3' end, to which the tRNAs corresponding amino acid is attached (by aminoacyl-tRNA synthetases). tRNAs cope with the degeneracy of the genetic code in two manners: having more than one tRNA (with a specific anti-codon) for a particular amino acid; and 'wobble' base-pairing, i.e. permitting non-standard base-pairing at the 3rd anti-codon position.
Source: Rfam by way of RNAcentral
CCUUCGAUAGCUCAGCUGGUAGAGCGGAGGACUGUAGGUGAAAUAUGGCAAUCCUUAGGUCGCUGGUUCAAUUCCGGCUCGAAGGA